AGAGUUUGAUCCUGGCUCAGGACGAACGCUGGCGGCGUGCCUAAUACAUGCAAGUCGAACGAAACUUUCUUACACCGAAUGCUUGCAUUCACCGUAAGAAGUUGAGUGGCGGACGGGUGAGUAACACGUGGGUAACCUGCCUAAAAGAAGGGGAUAACACUUGGAAACAGGUGCUAAUACCGUAUAUCUCUAAGGAUCGCAUGAUCCUUAGAUGAAAGAUGGUUCUGCUAUCGCUUUUAGAUGGACCCGCGGCGUAUUAACUAGUUGGUGGGGUAACGGCCUACCAAGGUGAUGAUACGUAGCCGAACUGAGAGGUUGAUCGGCCACAUUGGGACUGAGACACGGCCCAAACUCCUACGGGAGGCAGCAGUAGGGAAUCUUCCACAAUGGACGCAAGUCUGAUGGAGCAACGCCGCGUGAGUGAAGAAGGUCUUCGGAUCGUAAAACUCUGCUGUUAGAGAAGAACACGAGUGAGAGUAACUGUUCAUUCGAUGACGGUAUCUAACCAGCAAGUCACGGCUAACUACGUGCCAGCAGCCGCGGUAAUACGUAGGUGGCAAGCGUUGUCCGGAUUUAUUGGGCGUAAAGGGAACGCAGGCGGUCUUUUAAGUCUGAUGUGAAAGCCUUCGGCUUAACCGGAGUAGUGCAUUGGAAACUGGAAGACUUGAGUGCAGAAGAGGAGAGUGGAACUCCAUGUGUAGCGGUG
Molecule: ribosomal RNA, 706 nt
Filed under: uncultured Lactobacillus sp.
Lineage: Bacteria; Bacillati; Bacillota; Bacilli; Lactobacillales; Lactobacillaceae
Description: bacterial SSU rRNA
Rfam family: Bacterial small subunit ribosomal RNA
Source: RNAcentral